UCCCUAAAUAGCCUCAGGUGCGUGAGGAUUGGGGUGACAGACAAGUUACCUCCGGGACAACUGGCUUGUGGCUGCUAAGAGAUCAAAUCAACGCAGCUUUUUGAUUCUUCGAUGUCGGCUCUUCCUAUCCUAGUGAUGUACAAGUUGCUAAGGGUCGGAUUGUUCACCCGUAUUAGGGAUCGUGAGCUGGGUUUAGACCGUCGUGAGCCAGGUUUGUUUUAUCCUACUGGAUAUAGCAUCAUGAUAGUAGAUUGAUUUAGUACGAGAGGAACUGUUGAUUAUGGCCUCUGGUUAGCGAUUAUCGGAAACGGUAUGUCGCGCAGCUACGCCGUCUGGGAUAAUGGCUGAAAGCCUCUUAAGCCAGAAGCCCAUCUAGAAAGUGAUGCACGUGAUGUUGGACCGAUACGAAUAAUCAUACUCAAAAGGUCCGCUUCAUAGGUAACCCAAUGUAGAAGACAUUGUGUGAACGAAGGUACUGUAAGCAGUGGAGUGGCAUUACGUCCACGACCUGUUGAGGUUCAGCUUCGCUUCUAGGUUUCC
This 540-nucleotide non-coding RNA is filed under the name Trichomonas vaginalis G3. RNAcentral describes it as "Eukaryotic large subunit ribosomal RNA". It matches the Rfam family "Eukaryotic large subunit ribosomal RNA", at positions 2764 to 3401 of the family's 3401-position model. The record is from Rfam by way of RNAcentral. Lineage: Eukaryota; Parabasalia; Trichomonadida; Trichomonadidae.